Halocaridina rubra (Hawaiian volcano shrimp) is the source of this 73-nucleotide non-coding RNA. The record is from the annotation of a GenBank genome assembly. NCBI's taxonomy places the organism in Eukaryota, Metazoa, Arthropoda, Malacostraca, Decapoda, Atyidae.
ACCUUCUGUGGUGUAGUUGGUAGCACCUUGGACUGGUAAUAAUAAGUCCCAAGUUCAAGUCCCGGUUGGGGUA